UCUAAGAAGAGAUCCAUCCACAAAUGCAAGCUUGUUCUUAGCAUCUAGGGCAGUUGUAAUAGCUAUGUUCCAGGUGUUAUAGUUUGUUCCAUCAAGUACCUCUGAUACAAGACUCGGUGGUGAGCUUGUAUCAGGAUAUAUAUGAUGGCUACACAAGAUGGCGGUCGCUUCUCUCUUGUGUAGGAAAGAUGGUCGUUGAUGUAGAUCUG
Molecule: long non-coding RNA, 209 nt
Filed under: Capsella rubella
Lineage: Eukaryota; Viridiplantae; Streptophyta; Magnoliopsida; Brassicales; Brassicaceae
Description: long non-coding RNA (CRUB_LNC002223)
Source: RNAcentral